RNAcentral lists this ribosomal RNA (511 nucleotides) under uncultured bacterium. RNAcentral describes it as "bacterial SSU rRNA". It matches the Rfam family "Bacterial small subunit ribosomal RNA", at positions 28 to 526 of the family's 1533-position model. The record is from RNAcentral.
GACGAACGCUGGCGGCGUGCCUAAUACAUGCAAGUCGAGCGGAUCUUGUCCUUCGGGACAAGGUUAGCGGCGGACGGGUGAGUAACACGUAGGUAACCUGCCUGUAAGACUGGGAUAACAUUCGGAAACGAAUGCUAAUACCGGAUACGCGAGAAGAUCGCAUGAUCUUCUCGGGAAAGAUGGAGCAAUCUAUCACUUACAGAUGGACCUGCGGCGCAUUAGCUAGUUGGUGAGGUAACGGCUCACCAAGGCGACGAUGCGUAGCCGACCUGAGAGGGUGAUCGGCCACACUGGGACUGAGACACGGCCCAGACUCCUACGGGAGGCAGCAGUAGGGAAUCUUCCGCAAUGGACGAAAGUCUGACGGAGCAACGCCGCGUGAGUGAUGAAGGUUUUCGGAUCGUAAAGCUCUGUUGCCAGGGAAGAAUGCUUGGGAGAGUAACUGCUCUCAAGGUGACGGUACCUGAGAAGAAAGCCCCGGCUAACUACGUGCCAGCCGCCGCCGUAACAC